GACGAACGCUGGCGGCGUGCUUAACACAUGCAAGUCGAACGGAAAGGCCCUGCUUUCGUGGGGUGCUCGAGUGGCGAACGGGUGAGUAACACGUGAGUAACCUGGGCUUGACUUUGGGAUAACCUCAGGAAACUGGGGCUAAUACCGGAUAGGAGCUCCUGCAGCAUGGUGGUGGUUGGAAAGUAUCGGCGGUGGGGGAUGGACUUGGGGCUUAUGAGCUGGUUGGGGGGGGAGUGGCUUAGCAAGGCUUUGACGGGUAGCCGGCCUUGGAACGUAGCCACGCACAAUAGGACUGCGAUAGGGCCCAGUCUCCUACAGGGGACAACGGGGGAAAGUAUUGCCCAAUGGGCGGGAGCCUGCUGAGACAGCGCCGCGUUCGGGAUGACGGCCUUCGGGUUGUGAACCGCUUUCACCUGUGACGAAGCGUUAGUGACGGUAAUAAGUAAAGAAGCACCGGCUAACUACGUG
This 468-nucleotide ribosomal RNA is filed under the name uncultured bacterium. Its description in RNAcentral is "partial 16S ribosomal RNA". It matches the Rfam family "Bacterial small subunit ribosomal RNA", at positions 28 to 507 of the family's 1533-position model. The record is from RNAcentral.